Molecule: ribosomal RNA, 257 nt
Filed under: uncultured bacterium
Lineage: Bacteria
Description: partial 16S ribosomal RNA
Rfam family: Bacterial small subunit ribosomal RNA
Source: RNAcentral
CUCUCGGCGUGCCUCUGAAACCGGGUGACUUGAGGGCAGGAGAGGGGAGUGGAAUUCCCAGUGUAGCGGUGAAAUGCGUAGAUAUUGGGAGGAACACCAGUGGCGAAGGCGGCUCUCUGGCCUGUUUCUGACGCUGAGGCGCGAAAGCGUGGGUAGCGAACGGGAUUAGAUACCCCGGUAGUCCACGCCGUAAACGAUGGGUGCUAGGUGUAGGAGGUAUCGACCCCUUCUGUGCCGUAGCUAACACAAUAAGCACC